UCAGAGUGUCGAGAACACGGGGGAGGGCUACCAUAUGUGCUCUGCUGCCGUGGAACUCUUACGCUGUCGCCGUACGCGAAAACCACAGUGAAUAGCAGGAACACGGAUGUGCUGCUAUGAGGACAGAGAAGGCAAACUUCCUUCCGAGUUGACAGGAAUGGGCUCUGCAUACAAGAUGUCUGCCAAAAGAAAAAAGCCUUUCCUCAGCAACAAAGUUAACCUCUGCCCUGUAAAGGAGCAGGUGACAGCAGUGCAAUAUAAGCCAUGCAUACCCUGAUGCAUGAUGGCUGAAAAAGAGCGAGAUAUUGAAUAACAUGCAUAGCUAUUUUUUCUUAACCCAUAAUCUGUGAUAGUUAAUUAUCUCAAAAUUUAAUGAGAGCGCCAAUAUUUUACUUAGGUGAGAAAGGAGCCUUAUCUGAGCCAGAUGUAGUUUCCAAUGCAGGACUCAGCUCAGAAAAAUGCGAACUAAAGUGUAAAUGCAGAGUAUGCGUGCUAGCUGCCCUGUUAAUGGGUAACUUGAGACCCAAUAUAUGAAAUUAGGCUACUUCUCUUUUACAUCCUUAAAAUUGUAUUACUAUAUACACUUUUUGAGGAAAAGCUGCCAUUAGAGCUUGCAUCUGACUUUAUCAACUGAAUUUGCACAUAUUUAUCUGAAAAUAAAAUUCACUGAAACUCAUUUCCUGGGUCCCACCAGAUGGAACUCUCUAGUGGAUGGGACCCAUAACGUGCCCCUCCUGCCGGACCUGAUAGACGGGUAGAUGUAACUGGGGAGAAGAGGUCCCUCAAAUAACUAGUCCCAUGCCAUGUAGGGUUUUAAAGGUCAAAUCCAGCACCUUGAAUUGAACUUGGAAGCAAACUGGCAACCAAUGCAGCUUAUGGAGCAGGCUUAACAUGUGCCAUUCUAGGGGCAAACAGCAGCCCACGCUGCUGCAUUUUGCACCAGUUGAAGCUUCUGGGUACUCUUCAAGGGAAGCCCCAUGUAGAGUGCAUUACAGUAGUCCAUUCAAGAGAUCACUAGUGCAUGAGUAACUGGGAGUAAAACCUUCUGAUCCAGGAAGGGGCACAAUUGGCGCACAACACAAAGCUGUACAAAGGCCCUCCUAGCCACAACUGCCAGAGCAGUUGUUGAGUCCAGAAGGACCUCCAUAUUGCACACCAGGUCUGUUUAGAGCAGUGCGACUCCAUCUAGCUCCAAAGAUGGUAAGGCCCCAGAUCCAAAAGGCCCUAAAACCCAAAGCCACUCAGUCUUGUCAGGGUUCAGCUGAACCCUGUUGUUCCCUAUCCAGACUCCCACAGCCUCCAGGCACAGGGACAGGACAUCAACAGCAUUGUGUAGUUUGCCAGGGGCAUGCUAUAUAAUUGAGUAUCAUCAGCAUACUGAUAAUACCUCACCCUAUGGUGAUGGAUUAUCUUAUGUAAAUGUUAAAACAGUGGAGAGAGUACUGAACCCUGCAGAACCCCACAUAGUAGGGGGAGAGAGUAGGACCUCUCACUCUCAAUCAACACCCACUGGUAUCAGUCCCACAGAAAGGAAGAGAACAGAACAAUACAGUGCUGCCCACUCCCACCCCACAGAGCCAAUCCAGAAGGAUACUAUGGCCUAUGGUAUCAAAAGCCACUGAGAGAUCAAGAACAGCCAGGAUGGUUGCACUACCCCCUUCCUGCUCCUGCCAGAGACCAUCUAAAAGUGUGAUCAAUGACAUUUCCAUCCCAUGCCCAGGCCUGAAUGCUGACUGAAAGGUGUCCAGAUAAUCCACUUCAUCCAGGAUCCACUGAAGCUGUUGCUUAAGAGGUGGAGGAACAAUUCCCUCUCAAGGAAGAAUUCACCACUGCUAGAACCUAACCACACAUCACCCCCAGUGCAGCCUUAGCAGCCAGGUGGGGCAUGGAUCUAAUGAGCAGGUGGCCAAGCUCACAGUCAUGAGGACCCUGUUCAAACCACUCCCUGAUAACAGGGAAAGACUGUGCCCCAGACAUCUCUGCAGGACCUGCUUCAAGGCUGGCAUCAAUGAAUUUAAGUGAUUUUGUCCGACAGAUGCUCUGCAAAUUCCUCUGCAUGGCCUUGUAUGUGAACUCCUGAGUCCUCUUUAUCCGAAAGGGCUCAGGUCACCCUAAACAAGGCUGCCAGGUGGCUAUCUGCAGACACAAUAAGGGUGGAGAGGUAUUGCCAUAGUUGUACAUUUUUUGAAAGUAUAUGUUGGAUAUGCUCUCAAAUUAGUUGCAUGAGACAUGUUGGGAUUUAAUUAAAAAAAUAUCAAAUACAA
Candoia aspera is the source of this 2264-nucleotide long non-coding RNA. RefSeq lists it as uncharacterized. The record is from RefSeq and is a predicted model, not a curated record. Lineage: Eukaryota; Metazoa; Chordata; Lepidosauria; Squamata; Candoiidae. The transcript is spliced from 2 exons.